CCUACGGGAGACAGCAGUGGGGAAUAUUGGACAAUGGGGGGAACCCUGAUCCAGCGACGCCGCGUGAGUGAAGAAGUAUCUCGGUACGUAAAGCUCUAUCAGCAGGGAAGAAAGAAAUGACGGUACCCGACUAAGAAGCCCCGGCUAACUACGUGCCAGCAGCCGCGGUAAUACGUAGGGGGCAAGCGUUAUCCGGAUUUACUGGGUGUAAAGGGAGCGUAGACGGCUGAGCAAGUCUGAAGUGAAAGGCGGGGGCCCAACCCCCGGACUGCUUUGGAAACGGUAUAGCUAGAGUGCAGGAGAGGUGAGUGGAAUUCCUAGUGUAGCGGUGAAAUGCGUAGAUAUUAGGAGGAACACCAGUGGCGAAGGCGGCUUACUGGACUGUAACUGACGUUGAGGCUCGAAAGCGUGGGGAGCAAACAGGAUUAGAUACCCCGGUAGUC
RNAcentral lists this ribosomal RNA (443 nucleotides) under uncultured bacterium. RNAcentral's name for it is "partial 16S ribosomal RNA". It matches the Rfam family "Bacterial small subunit ribosomal RNA", at positions 338 to 795 of the family's 1533-position model. The record is from RNAcentral.